AUUGAACGCUGGCGGCAGGCCUCACACAUGCAAGUCGAACGAGUGGCGGACGGGUGAGUAAUGUCUGGGAAACUGCCUGAUGGAGGGGGAUAACUACUGGAAACGGUCGCUAAUACCGCAUACCAUCAGAUGUGCCCAGAUGGGAUUAGCUAGUGGGUGGGGUAACGGCUAACCAAGGCGACGAUCCCUAGCUGGUCUGAGAGGAUGAACGGCCACACUGGAACUGAGACACGGUCCAGACUCCUACGGGAGGCAGCAGUGGGGAAUAUUGCACAAGGGGCGCAAGCCUGAUCCAGCCAUGCCGCGUGUAUGAAGAAGGCCUUCGGGUUGUAAAGUACUUUCAGCGGGGAGGCGUUACCCGCAGAAGAAGCACCGGCUAACUCCGUGCAAGCCGCCGCGGUAAUAC
Molecule: ribosomal RNA, 406 nt
Filed under: uncultured bacterium
Lineage: Bacteria
Description: partial 16S ribosomal RNA
Rfam family: Bacterial small subunit ribosomal RNA
Source: RNAcentral